CUGUUGUACAGAUCUUUUCUGGACAGGAUAGCAUCAGGGCAGGUGGUCAGAACAACUGGUAUGGGCGAGCUGGUCCAAACUGCCAGCAGUCCACCACUACUACUGUAAUAAGGGGGCCCAGAGGGGGUGGGCUGAUGUAAGGAGAUAGUUGACAAGGCAAGACCUCAUUCCCAUGCCAUCCCUAAGUCCUGGUUUUUGCAUAGUUUUAAAAUUUGAAUAGUUUAAUUACUUUUCUAUUUAUUUUUUUAUAAUCUGUAAACUGUUCAAAGUUGCCUUAUGGGGAAGAUGGGCAGCAAGGACCACCCUCUCCUGAUCCGAGCAUGGAGUGGAGAGAAGGUGAGAAC
Pseudonaja textilis is the source of this 344-nucleotide non-coding RNA. The record is from RefSeq and is a predicted model, not a curated record. NCBI's taxonomy places the organism in Eukaryota, Metazoa, Chordata, Lepidosauria, Squamata, Elapidae.